Molecule: unclassified non-coding RNA, 208 nt
Filed under: Hevea brasiliensis (rubber tree)
Lineage: Eukaryota; Viridiplantae; Streptophyta; Magnoliopsida; Malpighiales; Euphorbiaceae
Source: RNAcentral
AAAAGUAGUUUGAAAUUAUUGUUUACCUGUUUUGGAGUUUUCAUAACUAAAACAUGUCAAAUUUAUCUUAAAAACAAUUUUUAAUGACCUCUAAUUGACAUAUUCAAGAUGAUAUUUUUCUCAAUAGCAAUUCCAAACAAACUCUUUAUUUUUAAUCUUCCUUAUUCAUGUAACUUUAUUCUCUUAGGGUUGAGAUUGAAGUGUAUAA